GGCAGAAUGGCCGAGUGGUCUAUGGCGACGGUCUCAAGCGCAGUUAUCAAGCACUUCACCAGCAUUAGCGGGUGUUCCGUUCACGAAAGUGGCCGGGGUUCGAAUCCCCGUUCUGUCA
RNAcentral lists this transfer RNA (118 nucleotides) under [Torrubiella] hemipterigena. RNAcentral describes it as "Torrubiella hemipterigena tRNA". It matches the Rfam family "tRNA". Rfam says of the family: Transfer RNA (tRNA) molecules are approximately 80 nucleotides in length. Their secondary structure includes four short double-helical elements and three loops (D, anti-codon, and T loops). Lineage: Eukaryota; Fungi; Ascomycota; Sordariomycetes; Hypocreales; Clavicipitaceae. The record is from Rfam by way of RNAcentral.